This 253-nucleotide ribosomal RNA is filed under the name uncultured bacterium. RNAcentral's name for it is "partial 16S ribosomal RNA". It matches the Rfam family "Bacterial small subunit ribosomal RNA", at positions 524 to 776 of the family's 1533-position model. The record is from RNAcentral.
UACGUAGGGUGCAAGCGUUGUCCGGAAUUAUUGGGCGUAAAGAGCUUGUAGGCGGUUUGUCGCGUCUGCUGUGAAAUUUCGGGGCUCAACCCCGAACUUGCAGUGGGUACGGGCAGACUAGAGUGUGGUAGGGGAGACUGGAAUUCCUGGUGUAGCGGUGAAAUGCGCAGAUAUCAGGAGGAACACCGAUGGCGAAGGCGGUUCUCUGGGCCUGACCUGACGCUGAGGAGCGAAAGCGUGGGGAGCGAACAGG